AUAUAUAUAUAUAUAUAAAAUGGAAGGAAGUAGCUAUCUUGGGUAGCUUUUUUUUUCUAUUUUAAGUUGUUUAUUUAAUAAUUUUUUUCUUUCUCAGUGAUUAUUUAUACAUUUUUCAAGGACUAGUUACAGUUACAGAACUGAGGUAAAGACAAAAGGAGCCAUGAUGAUUUUUUUUUUAAUUUUUAAUUUUUAUUUUUUCCUCUCUCUCUCUCUUGAGGCCUGGCGAAGGGUUUCAUUUAUUUUUUAAAUUUUUAAUCUUUUCAUUUUUUCGACGCCGAUAUGCACAUUGGACCUUUGACCUCCGCGGUGUUGGUUGCAGGCCGCCGCUGCUUCUCCAAAAAAAAAAAAAAAACCCUCUACGCCUGCUGGCAACCCGGGAGCAAAGGCUGCAAAAAAAAAAAACAAACAUUAGUGGCCUCUUUUACAGUUUAUUAGUCAGCCUGCCGAUAUACAGUUACACCACAAGAAGAAGAAGAAAAACCACACGCACACACACAUACUCCAGCUUAUUAUUUAAAAUACAAAAAUGCAGUUUUUUAUUUCUCAGAAGAAGAAAAUUUAAUUAGUAACUACUCUUUUCUGGGUCAGAUCACAUUGGUCUUUGUUGCAAAAGGGAGAUUACAGCAUGUAGGACAUUUAAAAGAAAAAAACAACAUUCAGAAUUUGAUGAAGGCUAUAAUAAUUAUACUUAAUAAUAAAGAAAAAAGAGUUUAUGGGUUUUAAGGGGGUUAAACUGAAAAUACUUGAUGUUUGUUGAAAGAUUAAAAAAAAAAAGUACAGAAAGCCACAGGCCUGUAAAUUUUAUUUGUAAAAAAGCAGUUCUAUUUUUAUACAACAUUUUUACUGCCUCAGAUGAAAAAAAAAAGGAUUUUAUUUAUUGUUAUUAAGUUAUUGGACUCCUAUAAAGUAUUACAGCAUCAUUAAAAGUUUAGACCCUUGUGGAGAAGUGAAGAAUUGGGUUCUCCGGUGUUUUUUUUUUUGUUUUUUUUUUCCCCGGUGCAGAAAAACCACGAUCACGACAUUUUCGCCUCCAUUUUGAACCCCCUUUGUCCAUUUCUCUGUGCACUCCAUCCGUCUGUCCAUCUAUCAUCCGUCCGUCCAUCCAUCCAUCUGUCCGUCCAUCCAUCCAUCCAUCCAUCCAUCCAUCCAUCCAUCCAUCUCUCCCUCUUCUCCAUUCGUAGUGGGACUACUUCUUCACCUGUUUUUUCCUCGUGUUCAUUUUUUACUUUUAUUUUUUCAGAUUUUUUUCCGUGUUUUCCGUUUGUUCGUUGCCCCCCUUCCUCUCUACCUCCAAAAAAACAUUAUUUUCGAAUUGAUAAGACUCCCAUUCUCUCCUCUGAUAAAGAAAAAAGAUAUUUUCUCCCAAAUGACGACAUCCAUCCGGGAUCUGAUGGAUAAAGCUUUGGGUGCUCUGUGUGUGUUUUUAUUUUGUGUGUGUGAAUGAAUGUAUAACAUCGUUUAUAUUAUGGAAAGAAAAAAAAGGAAAAAAUCAGCGAGUGGUGUUUUUGCUGUUCUGCCGGGUUUGCACUGUCGUUUGUUUGUUGUUGUUGCUGUUUGUUGUUGUUGUUGUUUCUCCUGAUUUUUUUUACACAAAAAAAACAACAAAAUGCUGUAAGUGGUGUGGUGCUCUGGCUCUCUGUGUGUAACUCUCUCCUCUCCCCUGUUUUUUCUUUCCCCCUUUUAGAACAACCCAUCCUCCAUGCCUGUUAGCUCAUCGUUUGCCUAGCAUGUCUCCGUGGCGUCCAAAACAAACAAAAAAAAACAACUUUUACGAAAGCAAACACACACGAAAAAACAUUUAUCCCCACCCAAAAAAAAAAAAAAAAUCAAAGUGUCAUCGUCGUCCUCCUUCCCCGUCAUUGUUUUUCUGAUGUCUUUUCCGAGCUCACCUGAUCAUAACCUGGUUCUCCUCCUCCUCCUCCUCGCUGCCGCCUACUGAACUUUUGAAAACUUUUUAGCUUUUUUUGGACUUUGAUUUUUAUGAUUAUUAUUUUUGUUGUCUUUCUUGUUUUUUUUUUUUUUGUUCUUUUGCAUGUGACCUCAUUUGGAUCUGGGAGGGUUUCAGGGGAGAAGAAGAAGAUUUUAAAAAGGGGAGGUUCAGAAAAAAAAACAAAUCUGUGAAAAAGAUACAAAGCUGCAUUCAUUAUGAACACAAAAAAAGACUGAGAUUUUUAUGGAAUAACAAAAAUGUUCUGUUUUUUUCAGUUUUUGGAGAAAAAACAACAGCUUGUGGUAAAGUGAUUUCCAUUCAGUAUGUUUUCUUGCAUAUUUUUCUUUUUUUCUUUAUAUGUCAGUUGUUUGUUUUUUGUUUUUGUUUUUGUUCUUCUUCAUUUAAAGUAAACUUGAAAGUUCACUACAGGAAUUGGCGCGCCAUCUUGCUUCUGGUGCCGAAAACGACAACAACAUGGAGAAAGAAAAAAAGAAAAACCAACAAAAAAAGAACAAAAAAACAAAAAGCAGGGCCAGAAGCAGUCCGCGCCAGUUUCUCUGAGAAAUAAGACUACUUCCAAACAGUUUUGAAUAAAAACUGUCUGAUCAAUAUUAGACUCUCUCAGAGCUCUCUAAUGGUUUUUACAUUUUUCAGGCAGUGUAAAGUUUUUUGAUAAGGCCAUUUUAAGUGGCUCUGUUUCUCAUUCAAAGUCUAUAUAUAGAACCACUUUUUUCUAGAGUAGUUUAAAGGUAAAAAUAAAAAAAGACAUUUGCCCUGUUUGGGGGGGAGAAAUGCUACCUACUUGUGUCACCUUUUGCUGAACUGACUCACAGAUAGACAAUCCGUGGUUUAAAUGCACAUGAUGAAAUGACCUAUAUUUUCUACUGUUUAAAUGUAUAGAGGAAAAAAAAAACUAAGAUUACCUGUAACCCGCGUUAACGUCGGUGCUUCUCGUGAGUUUAGUUGUGGUUUCAUCACAAGUCUAACGGUCUUAAAUGUCUCAUGUUUUUCAAGAGAAGACUAAAAAAUCAGUUUACUUGAACAAUAGACAAAGCCUUUCAUAUUACUAUAAUAGUUUUUCUCUCUUUUUUUCAAAUUUUCCUUCUUUUUUUUAAGGAGUCCCUAUUUGCUAAAUUUCUUGUUGGUUAAUUAGCUAUAUAAAAUUCUUAAAAAUAUAUAUAAAUAUAAAUAUAUCUAUAUAUAUAUAAUGUCAGCUUGUGAAGCAUCAAUGUCAUUAUUAUUUUAUUUCUCUCGUGGGAAACAAUAUUUAGAUGUGUUUUGUUGUUCGGCAAAAAUGUCUUAUAAAGAAAAAAAGACAAAAUCAGUGGAGUUUAGUGCCAAAUUCUGAAGGUACUUGCUGCCUAGCGCGUCAGUGUAUUUCUUGUGAAAUUAUUUGAUAACAUGGGUAUUUUAUUAUAAGUGUUUUGUAUGGAUCCCUCAUAUUUAAAGUAUAGAUUUAAAAAAGAGUUUGUUAACUUGCUAUUCUGUGGUCUUGUUGCCUGAAAAUGUCAUGUUUGCUUUUUUUCUUUGUAAAGAUGUAAGGACAAAAAAAUCGACAAAAAAAGUGCCCAUGUGUCAUAUAUAUAUCUACACGAACACACACGCAAAACACACACAUAUAUGCAUCACGCCAACACACACUCUCGUGCAGACCUCACAGUUUACUUUGUUAUUGUGCAUGAGAGCCCCUGAGCGCGAACGCCUCUUCAGCGAACCGCUAGCGCCCGCCAGCGUGCACGCUAACACUUUAACAAAAAACACACAAAGAGUCGCGCACUGAUAUUUUUAGCCAUUGUACAGCCAUUUCUCUCAUCAAAGCCUUACCACAAAUCUUUGCACUCCUGUUCUCUCUCUAUUAGCAUCCGUCAGGCUUGUAUUGUUUUUAUUUCUCAUCCCGCCGAAGACGAAGAAGACGAGCCUUAUUUCUCUCCACAUUUCUGAGUCCGUUUUUUGUCUCAGAUGGCGAGGAUCGUUUUGUGUUAUUGCACCUCAAGACGAGUGCUUUCAUGAUGUAAGCACAGGGCAAGACUCGCUCGUUCACAAACCAGCCUAGAUCUUUUGAGGAAAAAGCACACCGCCGCCACCGCCGCCGUUAGAGAAGGGGAAAAAAAAAAGGCGGGAAAGUCAGACGCAAGUUCCCGCUGUUUUUUUUUUUUUUUUUUUACCUCCUUCCUCCAUGUGUAAGUCUCGUGGUGCGCAAUGGGCCAAAAUCAUGUUUUUUAGAUGCCAAAGUGUGUUCAAGACAUUCUCAUAGUCGAGCCGUUUACAUGGCACAGUUGUCGGUGUCGAGUCUAUUCAAACUGCCCCUGUUCCCUCUCCCUGAAGUUUACGGUCUGCAAAAAAUAGAAAAAAAAAUUAUAAAAAAAUAAAUAAAGGCAGCAUUAUUUUCUACAGAAGCUCACCAGUCGCCUUAACCAGGGAGCGUCGUAAACCAGUAUUAUACAAGAGUACAAGAUGUUGUCGAGUCCAAGUGAUGUGUGCCAAGUCUGUCGUCGAAGAAAAAAAAAGUCUGGCUCUUCCUUCUUCCCGCCAAACCAAGCCGAGAAAAGAGAAAUGUGUGGUUGUUGUCUUCCAGGCUAACGGGGGUUAUUAGAAACAGGGCCGUCUUAUUGGAAUAGCGACGGGGGAAAUAAAGCGGAGAGGAAAGGGUCACAUCGGCGGGAAGCAAAACAACAAGCUGGAGCCCGAGACCAAGGCGAUGCAGCUUUCAUUAUCCUCUCUCUCGGAAAAAAAAGACCAAACUUUAUCUGAUCUCAUGGAAGGGAGGCGAGCAGACUUUUUUUUUCUUUGUAUUUUUUAUUUUUUUCCCUCCUAAAUGCAGUACACACAUGCCACAAAAACAGCCAUAAACUACCUGUACGGAAGCUUUUUUUUUUCUGUAGGUUCAAAGAAACUGUUCGAUCGCACAUUUUCAUUUUUAAUUUCGCAAAAUGGCGACACCUUCUGCGCUUAACUGAGGGAAUUAGAAGCAGAGUGGUCUGACCCACAACUGAGUUUUAUGUCAUUUCUGUAAUGUUUUAUGAUCCAGAUUGUACUGGCAAAAUGGUCACAACCCAAAUACAGUGUUAUAGUGCUGCUUCAAAUGUUAGACCAUUCUUGAAAAACGCAAAAACUACAGAAAGUGAGUUAGACCACUCUGCUUCCGAACCCUUCAACUAUCCCGAAAAUUUUUUGUCAUGGUUGUGAAAAAUUGCCAAAACCUCCACCCCGACAGUUUGCACAGUUCGGUGUUGUUGUUUUUUUUUUUUUGUUUUGUUUAGUUUAAUUUUGUUUUUCUGCAGGUUCGAAGAAAGUAUUCGAUUGCACAUUUUAAUUUUUAAUUUCCCAAAAUGCCGACAUGUUCUGCGCUUAACUGAGGGGCUUAGAAGCAGAAUAGUCUAACCCACCACCAAAACAAAAUCCGAACUCGAGUUUUAUGUAAUUUCUGUUAUAUUUUAUGGUCUAGAUUUUCGUAGCAAAGUGGUCACAACCCAAAUACAGCAUUACGAUGGUGCUUCGAAUGUUAGACCAUUGUUGAAAAACACAAAAACUACAGAAAGAGGGUUAGACCACUCUGCUUCCAGACCCUUUGACUGUCCUGAAAACUUUUUGUGGUCAUGAAAAAUAGCCAAAAGCUCCAUCCCGACGUUUUGCACAGUCUGAUGUCAUUUUUUGUUUUUCUGCAGGUUCGAAGAAACUAUUCAAUUGCACAUUUUCAUGUUUAAUUUCACAAAAUGCCGACACGUUUCGCGCUUAACUAAGGGCUUAGAAGCAGAAUGGUCUAACCCACCACCAAAAACAAAAUUUGAACCCGAGUUUUGUACAAUUCCUGUAAUAGUUUAUGGUCUAGAUUUUUUUUUUUUUUUUAAUUUUUAUCGGCUUUAUUGGAUAGGUGCAGUGAGAGAGAGACAGGAAACGGGAGAAGAGUCAGGGGAAGACAUGCAGCAAAGGGCCACGAGCGGGAAUCGAACCCAGGCCGGCUGCGGCGGAGACCAGCCCCUGUACAUGGGUCACCUGCUCAACGCGUUGAGCUAUACGGGCGCCCCGAUGGUCUAGAUUUUAACGGCAAAGUGGUCACAACCCAAAUAUAGCCUUACGAUGGCGCUUCGAAUGUUUGACCGUUCCUGAAAAACGCAAAAACUACAGGAAGUGGGAUAGACCACUCUGUUUCCAGACCCUUUGACUGUCCUGGAAACUUUUCGUACUUGAGAAAAAUUGCCAAAAUCUCCACCUCAACAUUUUGCACAGUCCAGCGUCGCUUUAUUUUUGUUUUAUUUUCGAUGUUGAAGCACAAAUCGGGCCGGGUUUUUCCGUGGAAGCGGCUCGCCUCAGGGGCUGUCAUCGCCGAUGCUCGUUGUAAUCUUUCUAUCUACGUCACUGUUUCACUUCUCUGUUCUCCUUCUUUCUUAAUUAUCUUAAGUGCUAUUUAUCAAACAAAUGGAAUCUUGAAAGGAAAAAAAACAAAAAAAAACAAACUUGUUGUUUCUUUGCAUUAUGGCUUAUGUCAAAAGUUUUUUGAGGAAAAAUGUUUUGUGUGUUCUCUCUUUCCGUGGCGUAAAAAAGAAGCUUGUUGUCUGUAGAAAUUAUCCGAUUUCUAUGAUUUUUUUUUUUGCUGUUGUUUUUUUUCUUUGUUUCUUUUAAUUCUCAAAAAAAGGUUUUCAAAGUAGUUUCAAAGUUAUUGUCUUGAGAGAAGCCAAAGUCAAUGCAUUUCAGUGGAUCCUGUAAGCGUGAUGUAUGUUUGUUUGACAACACUUCGAAAAUCUGUCACUGGAUGGGAUUUAAAAAGUACAAAAAAUGCAGGCUUUCCUAUUUCUACAACUGAUUGUACUUAUGCAUUUUGUACCAGUGGAACUUUUUAUACUGGAGAUUAAAGGAUACAUCAAAAAAAAGAAAAAAAAAUCUUAGAAAAAAACGCUGUCUGGCCUGGUGGUGUGGCCUGACCCUGACUGGUCCCCGAGUAUGAUUUCUAGCUGGCAUCAAGGAAGUUGGCUUUUGAUAAUAAGAUUUUCUAGAAGAUCUUUGGCUUUAUUUCUUUCACUUCUUUUUCCUCACUUGAGUGUUGUUCUUUCUUUCUAUCUUCUUUUUUCGUUCUUUCUUUUUUAUUUUCCCAAAAAACAAGAGGUUUAGGUGAGUGUCAGAUCUUUUCUUUUUCAUUUUUUAAUUUUUGUUUUGCUUUAUAAAUAUAGUUCUAGCAAGUUUGUCUAUACAACAGCGGUAAGUUUCAUUUGACUUCUGUAUUGUGCCGUCUACACGAUAAGACAAUUAUAGAAAAAGAAGGAAUAGAAAUAUUUAGUCACCUUCAGUGGAUUAAUGUAUUAGUUUAAUAAAGAGAUCAACUAAUUAGAACUUUUUUGCUUUUAGCUGUUUAGAUUUUUCCGGUUUCUCUGUCCUUCUCUGUGAACUAACUGUGUAGCUGAAGCAGUCAGAAUUAUUUUUGUAAACGUAUGUUCUUGUGUGAUGCAGUUUUUUGCUUCUGUCUCCUAUAUUAAACCAUUUUUCCUAAUACUUGUCUCUCUCUGUGUGUUGUUAUGUUCCAGUGGCUGUCUGAUGUUGUACUGUUUCAUGACCUCUCCCUACCAUAUUCUCGCUAUUCUCUCCUAUUUGUAGUCUUAUAUCUCUCUAUCAUUCUCUACCUCAUGUUUGUGUUUUUUU
This is a long non-coding RNA of Amphiprion ocellaris (clown anemonefish), 7564 nucleotides long. Lineage: Eukaryota; Metazoa; Chordata; Actinopteri; Pomacentridae. The record is from Ensembl.